This is a long non-coding RNA of Pantherophis guttatus, 2090 nucleotides long. RefSeq lists it as uncharacterized. The record is from RefSeq and is a predicted model, not a curated record. Lineage: Eukaryota; Metazoa; Chordata; Lepidosauria; Squamata; Colubridae.
AAUGAGAAGAAGGAAAGGAAAAUAUUUUGGGUGUGAAUUAGGGAAGGAAGGAAGGAAUUAAUUGGAAAUGAGAGGAAGGAAAGAAAAAAUAUCCUGGGUGUGAAUUAGGGAAGGAAAAGGAAGGAAGGAAGGAAGGAAUUGGAAAUGAGAAGAAGGAAAGGAAAAUAUUUUGGGUGUGAAUUAGGGAAGGAAGGAAGGAAUUAAUUGGAAAUGAGAGGAAGGAAAGAAAAAAUAUCUUGGGUGUGAAUUAGGGAAGGAAGGAGGGAAGGAAGGAAGGAAUUGGAAAUGAGAGGAAGGAAAGGAAAAAUAUCCUGGGUGUGUGAAUUAGGGAGGGAGGGAAGGAAGGAAGGAAGGAAAGAAGGAAGGAAGGGAGCUUCUCUCGCUCUUGCUUUCCAGAGAGAGCGAAUUUGGAGAAAAGCAAUCUAGGAAAUGGAAAAAAAAAAUUCUCAGUUGGCCUUUGGAGAUGGGUCCAUCUUUCCCAAAAAAACAGAGCGAUUCCUUUCAAAACGUUUAAUCGCACCUUCCCUUCCAGUACCCUCUUUUUUUUUCUUUUGCAGUCAUGGGGGAGCAUGGCCUCAGAAUUGGAAUAAUUAAGAAGAUCCCCCCCCCACCUCCAGAACCCAAUCUCCUCCUCAAAAGCCAAAGUGGUUUUCAGGUUUUUUUUUUAAAUUUUUAUUUCUCUCCAACGAAAAAGUGGCAAAUCCUUGUUGGAAGGAUUGUGAUGGUGAUGGUGAAAGCUCUGCCCCCACCCCCCAAAUAGUGAUGGCGAAGCCCCUUUUUCCCUCUCCCUCCCGUUACAAAUGCAAAAGGCCUUUUCAUCUUAAGGUCGCCUCUCCGUUAGAAAUUAAAACACACCCCGAUAAUUUCUUUUCCUGUCUUCAGCAAUUUGGGGGAGAGGGGGGGAAAGGAAAAAAAACUGUGUGGGCAACGAAGGCCAGAUUUUAAAAAUGUGGUGUUUUUUUUUUUUUUUUUUGAGCAUUCUGAUUAAUUUAAUUCGUUUUUUUUUUUUUAAAGAAUUUUCUUUUCUUAUUUUUCGGGCAUUGGGGGGGGGAAAUGAAACAGGGUGAUGGACACAAUCAAGAGAAAUAAAAGGCAGGAGAAGUUGCUGCUGAAUAGUUUGAAGAGGCGCCUGAGUGAAGAGCUUUUUAAUUUUAAUUUUUUAAAAAAUUCUGUGUCUUUCUCUCUCUUUCUCUCUCUCUCUCUUUUUUUUUUUUGCAUAGCCUCGUCGAGCCCAAAAGCUGGAACCUUUGCUCCUGAUUGUCCAAACGCAAUUCUUGUCCAGAAAAACAUACAAACCAAGAAUUGUGUCUGGACAUCGGUGGCUAAGCCUUCAAAAUCAUCCGUGUCGCCUGCAUAUUCAAAAAAACAAAACAAAAAAACGGAUUUCCUCCAUCUACAGUGGAUAGCCAGGAGUUGCUUCUUGCAGGGCAAACUUGCUUCAUCCAGAUGGACUUUAACUCCCAUGAUCCCCUGCCAGCGUGGAAUGUGGAGCUAUGGGAUAUGAAGUCCAACGGAUCUGAAGGGUAUUUCAGAUUGGGAGAGGGGAAUGGCUGUAGAGAGGUUAUUUAUUUAUUUAUUUAAAGUAAAAUACAUCUGAGCCAUCGGAAUUGUAUUCUGUUCGCUAAAACCAUGCUUUUAAAUGCAGAUAUGUGGCUGGCUCGUUUUAUUAAAUUAUUUUAUGUAUUUUUAAUUUUUGUAACGGAAAGACAAGGUGUUCAUUUUUGGUGAUUGCUCAUUUAUUCCUUUGCAAUGUUUUUACUCCAUUUCCAAACACGUUUACAAUUGGCAAGGAAUUGAAACACAAUCCACCGUAGCUAUUUUGCACGAUUAACGCAACAAAUCUUUUUGGCAUUAUCACUUAGUUGUGUUUCAGCAAUUUAAGGAUUGAUAUGAUAUUAUAGUUUAGUGUUGUGUUUUGUUGAUGUGCAACUGACCGAUUGGAUGCCAAGUUAUGAUUUUAACGUGCAUCUUAUUUGCUUUAUGUAUUAUUUUAUUGUAGAAUUUUUAACUGGAUAGUCCUUGAGUGGGUUUUUUUUAUUAUUAUUUGUUCCGGUCUUUUGACUGUAAUAAACACUGACUUGGCCUGACAA